AGCGUGAAGUUGCAGUGAUACGCGGAAUCAUAAUCCGCGUGUCGGGGGUUCGAGUCCCUCCUCCGCUA
RNAcentral lists this transfer RNA (68 nucleotides) under Planctomycetales bacterium. Its description in RNAcentral is "tRNA-Ser". The record is from RNAcentral. Lineage: Bacteria; Pseudomonadati; Planctomycetota; Planctomycetia; Planctomycetales.